Molecule: ribosomal RNA, 539 nt
Filed under: uncultured bacterium
Lineage: Bacteria
Description: partial 16S ribosomal RNA
Rfam family: Bacterial small subunit ribosomal RNA
Source: RNAcentral
UGGGGAAUUUUGGACAAUGGGCGAAAGCCUGAUCCAGCAAUGCCGCGUGUGUGAAGAAGGCCUUCGGGUUGUAAAGCACUUUUGUCCGGAAAGAAAUCCUUGGCUCUAAUACAGUCGGGGGAUGACGGUACCGGAAGAAUAAGCACCGGCUAACUACGUGCCAGCAGCCGCGGUAAUACGUAGGGUGCAAGCGUUAAUCGGAAUUACUGGGCGUAAAGCGUGCGCAGGCGGUUUGCUAAGACCGAUGUGAAAUCCCCGGGCUCAACCUGGGAACUGCAUUGGUGACUGGCAGGCUAGAGUAUGGCAGAGGGGGGUAGAAUUCCACGUNUGAGCAGUGAAAUGCGUAGAGAUGUGGAGGAAUACCGAUGGCGAAGGCAGCCCCCUGGGCAAUACUGACGCUCAUGCACGAAAGCGUGGGGAGCAAACAGGAUUNGAUACCCUGGUAGUCCACGCCCUAAACGAUGUCAACUAGCUGUUGGGGCCUUCGGGCCUUGGUAGCGCAGCUAACGCGUGAAGUUGACCGCCUGGGGAGUACGGUC